RNAcentral lists this non-coding RNA (106 nucleotides) under Variovorax sp. SRS16. Its description in RNAcentral is "TPP". It matches the Rfam family "TPP riboswitch aptamer (THI element)". From Rfam's summary of the family: Vitamin B(1) in its active form thiamin pyrophosphate (TPP) is an essential coenzyme that is synthesised by coupling of pyrimidine and thiazole moieties in bacteria. Lineage: Bacteria; Pseudomonadati; Pseudomonadota; Betaproteobacteria; Burkholderiales; Comamonadaceae. The record is from RNAcentral.
GACCCCGCUCCGGGGUGCACGCAGUUGCGUACUGAGAUGGCCAAAUGGCCGAACCCGCGAACUUGAUCUGGUUCAUACCAGCGUAAGAAGAGCUGCGACUCCACGG